GCGCCAGUAGCUCAGUAGGAUAGAGCAACGGAUUUCUAAUCCGUAGGUCAGGGGUUCGAAUCCCUUCUGGCGUGCCA
Molecule: transfer RNA, 77 nt
Filed under: Armatimonadota bacterium
Lineage: Bacteria; Bacillati; Armatimonadota
Description: Armatimonadetes bacterium (aquatic metagenome) tRNA-Arg
Rfam family: tRNA
About the family: Transfer RNA (tRNA) molecules are approximately 80 nucleotides in length.
Source: RNAcentral